This 732-nucleotide ribosomal RNA is filed under the name Leucodecton inspersum. RNAcentral describes it as "SSU rRNA". It matches the Rfam family "Bacterial small subunit ribosomal RNA", at positions 342 to 1147 of the family's 1533-position model. The record is from RNAcentral. Lineage: Eukaryota; Fungi; Ascomycota; Lecanoromycetes; Ostropales; Graphidaceae.
UUGGAGGAUGUAUAGGGGAAAAACUGGUAAAAAAGGUGAUGUAUCUAGUAAUAUUAGUGAUUAAUAUUACAUUAACAAGGUUAAUUAAAAUUCUAUGUAAAUAUUGAUUAUGACAGUAUUUGCUUAUGUCUUGACCAAGUCACGUGCCAGCAGUCGCGGUAAUACGUGGAAGAUUAGUGUUAUUCAUAUUUAACAGGUUUAAAGGGUACCUAGACGGUUAGUUAAACACUUAUAUGUAUUAAUUAACUAGAGUUUAAUGUAAGAAAGAUAGAGUACGGUGAGUGUAGAGAUAAAAUUUUAUGAUACCACUAAGGAACUGGUAAAGGCGAAGGCAACUUUCUAUGUAAAAACUGACGUUAAGGGACGAAGGCUCAACUAAAAAAACAGGAUUAGAUACCCUGGUAUUCUGAGCAGAAAAUGAUGAGUGUCAUAUGCAAGAAAUUUUUUGUGUAUAAAUGAAAGUGUAAGCACUCCACCUCAAGAGUAACGUGGCAACACGGGAACUGAAAUCAUUAGACCGUUUCUGAAACUCGUAGUGAAGUAUGUUGUUUAAUUUGAUAAUCCACAAAUAACCUUACCACCGAUUUGAAUUACAUUAAUAAAUCGAUUUAUUGAUGUAACAAGCGUUGCACGGCUGUCUUAAGUCAAUGUUGUGAAACUGUGGUUAGAUCCAUUAAAUUGACGACUUUAUUUAUUAUAAAGUAGUUCGCCGCUAUAUUGGUAGUGAUAAAA